This 468-nucleotide ribosomal RNA is filed under the name uncultured bacterium. RNAcentral describes it as "partial 16S ribosomal RNA". It matches the Rfam family "Bacterial small subunit ribosomal RNA", at positions 28 to 507 of the family's 1533-position model. The record is from RNAcentral.
GACGAACGCUGGCGGCGUGCUUAACACAUGCAAGUCGAACGGAAAGGCCCUGCUUUUGUGGGGUGCUCGAGUGGCGAACGGGUGAGUAACACGUGAGUAACCUGCCCUUGACUUUGGGAUAACUUCACGAAACUGGGGCUAAUACCGGAUAGGAGCUCCUGCUGCAUGGUGGGGGUUGGAAAGUUUCGGCGGUUGGGGAUGGACUCGCGGCUUAUCAGCUUGUUGGUGGGGUAGUGGCUUACCAAGGCUUUGACGGGUAGCCGGCCUGAGAGGGUGACCGGCCACAUUGGGACUGCGAGACGGCGCAGACUCCUACGGGAGGCAGCAGUGGGGAAUCUUGCACAAUGGGCGGAAGCCUGAUGCAGCAACGCCGCGUGCGUGAUGCCGGCCUUCGGGUUGUAAACCGCUUUCGCCUGUGACGAAGCGUGAGUGACGGUAAUGGGUAAAGAAGCACCGGCUAACUACGUG